UACGUAGGGGGCUAGCGUUGUCCGGAAUCAUUGGGCGUAAAGAGCGUGUAGGCGGCCCGGUAAGUCCGCUGUGAAAGUCGGGGGCUCAACCCUCGGAUGCCGGUGGAUACUGUCGGGCUUGAGUACGGAAGAGGCGAGUGGAAUUCCUGGUGUAGCGGUGGAAUGCGCAGAUAUCAGGAGGAACACCAACGGCGAAGGCAGCUCGCUGGGACGGUACUGACGCUGAGGCGCGAAAGCGUGGGGAGCGAACAGG
RNAcentral lists this ribosomal RNA (253 nucleotides) under uncultured bacterium. RNAcentral's name for it is "partial 16S ribosomal RNA". It matches the Rfam family "Bacterial small subunit ribosomal RNA", at positions 524 to 776 of the family's 1533-position model. The record is from RNAcentral.